Molecule: ribosomal RNA, 253 nt
Filed under: uncultured bacterium
Lineage: Bacteria
Description: partial 16S ribosomal RNA
Rfam family: Bacterial small subunit ribosomal RNA
Source: RNAcentral
UACGUAGGGUGCAAGCGUUAAUCGGAAUUACUGGGCGUAAAGCGUGCGCAGGCGGUGAUGUAAGACAGAUGUGAAAUCCCCGGGCUCAACCUGGGAACUGCAUUUGUGACUGCAUCGCUGGAGUACGGCAGAGGGGGAUGGAAUUCCGCGUGUAGCAGUGAAAUGCGUAGAUAUGCGGAGGAACACCGAUGGCGAAGGCAGCCUCCUGGGCCAGCACUGACGCUCAUGCACGAAAGCGUGGGGAGCAAACAGG